Trichomycterus rosablanca is the source of this 319-nucleotide long non-coding RNA. RefSeq lists it as uncharacterized. Lineage: Eukaryota; Metazoa; Chordata; Actinopteri; Siluriformes; Trichomycteridae. The record is from RefSeq and is a predicted model, not a curated record. The transcript has 3 exons.
AGCAUCCAAACCAGAAGAAACUGAGCUGCAGCUCCAGGCACCACCAGUUUAUGCGGAUUGUGUGAGGAGUCGCCAUGACGAUGAGCAUAUCCACUACGCAUCUCUGGGGAAACAGAACUGGAGGAGCCGAGGCUGGAAUCAGCAAAGCAGACAGCAGGUCAUCUACUCAACCCUGCAGCUGAACCCGAGACACACAGCAUACACACCCACACACCAACACACACUGUACACACCAGGAAUCUAGAGUGGGAGUCCUCAUAACUGCUGCAGUUAGUUAGCUGCUGUUAGUUAGGCAUAACAUUAUGACCACCUUCCUAAU